RNAcentral lists this ribosomal RNA (496 nucleotides) under uncultured bacterium. Its description in RNAcentral is "partial 16S ribosomal RNA". It matches the Rfam family "Bacterial small subunit ribosomal RNA", at positions 899 to 1397 of the family's 1533-position model. The record is from RNAcentral.
ACUCAAAGGAAUUGACGGGGGCCCGCACAAGCGGUGGAGCAUGUGGUUCAAUUCGACGCAACGCGAAGAACCUUACCCAGGCUCGAACGGCAAUUGACAUCCUGCGAAAGCAGGCUCCCGCAAGGGCAAUUGUCGAGGUGCUGCAUGGCUGUCGUCAGCUCGUGUCGUGAGAUGUUGGGUUAAGUCCCGCAACGAGCGCAACCCUUGUCCGCUGUUGCCAUCACGUUAUGGUGGGCACUCUGCGGAGACUGCCGGUGAUAAACCGGAGGAAGGUGGGGAUGACGUCAAGUCAGCAUGGCCUUUAUGUCUGGGGCUACACACGUGCUACAAUGGCCGGUACAAACCGUCGCGAUGCCGCAAGGUGGAGCUAAUCGGAGAAAACCGGUCUCAGUUCGGAUUGCAGGCUGCAACUCGCCUGCAUGAAGUUGGAAUCGCUAGUAAUCGCGGAUCAGCACGCCGCGGUGAAUACGUUCCCGGGCCUUGCACACACCGCCGU